This 465-nucleotide ribosomal RNA is filed under the name uncultured Klebsiella sp. Its description in RNAcentral is "bacterial SSU rRNA". It matches the Rfam family "Bacterial small subunit ribosomal RNA", at positions 338 to 795 of the family's 1533-position model. Lineage: Bacteria; Pseudomonadati; Pseudomonadota; Gammaproteobacteria; Enterobacterales; Enterobacteriaceae. The record is from RNAcentral.
CCUACGGGGGGCAGCAGUGGGGAAUAUUGCACAAUGGGCGCAAGCCUGAUGCAGCCAUGCCGCGUGUGUGAAGAAGGCCUUCGGGUUGUAAAGCACUUUCAGCGGGGAGGAAGGCGGUGAGGUUAAUAACCUCAUCGAUUGACGUUACCCGCAGAAGAAGCACCGGCUAACUCCGUGCCAGCAGCCGCGGUAAUACGGAGGGUGCAAGCGUUAAUCGGAAUUACUGGGCGUAAAGCGCACGCAGGCGGUCUGUCAAGUCGGAUGUGAAAUCCCCGGGCUCAACCUGGGAACUGCAUUCGAAACUGGCAGGCUAGAGUCUUGUAGAGGGGGGUAGUAUUCCAGGUGUAGCGGUGAAAUGCGUAGAGAUCUGGAGGAAUACCGGUGGCGAAGGCGGCCCCCUGGACAAAGACUGACGCUCAGGUGCGAAAGCGUGGGGAGCAAACAGGAUUAGAUACCCUUGUAGUC